AUGGGAAACCGUCUUCAGUCUUUUCUGUCACUCCUUUCAUAAUGACGAUUUCAUUUCCAAGGUAAGCCAAAAGAAAUCAGUCCGUUUUAUUUUCUUGUUCAAAGCCUUUCAUUCUUCAUUUUUCUUCUCUGGAGACUUCUUCUUCACUUCCCCCAUCCAGCCGAGCUUGAUCCAUUUGCAUAAUCUGGAACUCCCCUAUCCAGGUAAAACUCUUCUCCUCUUCUCAAUGAUUCUGUUGCUAUGAUAUGAGCAAGACCAUUUGCGGAUCUAGGUAUAUACUGAAAUCUGAUGUUUUCAAGUCCAUAGAUUUCCUGUUGAAUGUCAAAAAUGUAUACUUCCACCAUAGAUCUAUCUUGACUCUUCGAUUUACAUUUUUUGACUAUUGUGAGGGAGUCUCCUUCAAGGAUCAAAUGUCGCCAUCCCCUCCUGAUUCCCAUUUGAACGCCUUUCCGGCAGGCAAUUGCUUCAGCAGCAAAGGCUGAUGGAAUACCAAAAUGAAUCUCUGAAUAUGAAAAAAGAAUAGUACCAUUCGAAUCUCUGGCCACAAUACCCACACCCGACUGAUUCUUUACUUUAUCGUAAGCACCAUCAAAGUUGAUCUUCAUGAAACUUUCCUGUGGUGGCGACCAUCUCUUUUUCUCUAAGGUACGGUUCAGAUCUCUCUUCUCAAGACUAUCAAUUUCUUUGAUGUAACUGAUUAUAAGAUUUGCAACUUCCGUCCCCUUUCUAAUUUUACCUUCAUGUAUUCUUUUGUUUCUGUCACCCCAUAUUGCCCAGAGUGCACAACAAAAUACGCGACUUUGAUCAAGGUUGAGCUGCUCUAUUGCCCAGGUAAUCCACUGUACAAAAUCUUCACAAUGAUUCCUUAAAAUGCACUGAAACGAUAAUGAUCUCCAUACCUCCCUUGUAAUAUGACAGUAACGAAAUAAGUGGUUCAUUGGUUCAGCUUCUUCUCCACAUCGGGGACAGCUCGGAUUUACUACUAACUUCCGAUGUUGAAGAUUCACCUUUGUAGGCAGAUAAUUCCAAGAUAGCUUCCAUAUUGUAACCUUAAUUUUAGCUGGUAGAUUCAGGCACCAUAGUUUUUUAUAAAAAUUCCCAUAGAUGGUCUGUAAAGCAUAAGCUCUAGGAUUGUCAGUCAAUUUUUGUAAUAGUUGAUAGGCACUUCUGACCGUAAACUCACCCGACCGUUCGCCUCCCCAGAUAAGAAAAUCAUCAUGCGGUGUUUGUGCCAGAGGGAUUCUGAGGAUUCUAGCUGCGUCGUCUUCCAGGAAGGUACUAGUAAUCAACUCUUUUUUCCAACUUCUGGUAUUAUUAUCAAUCAACUCGCCAACUUUAACAUCACGCAAAAAAUUAAUAUCUGAUGAUAAUCUAAAAUUAACAGAAUCUGGAAUCCAAGCAUCGCUUAUGCAAAUAUUAGUACCCGUCCCCACCCUUCAACAAUGCCCUUUUUCCAAUAAGUCCUUUGCUGCCCAAAUACUUUUCCAUACAUACGAACUAGAAUUUCCUAACCUGAAAUUUAAGAAAUUAUCAUCCGAAAAAUACUUAGCUUUAAACACUUUCGUUACAAGCGCAUUCUGAUUAUUCAUAAUCCUCCACCCUUGCUUAGCCAAUAGAGCUACAUUGAACUGUGCCAUAUUUCGGAAGCCCAUACCACCCUCUUCUUUAGGCCUACACAUAAAUUCCCAUUGACACCAUUGAAUUCCUUUCUUUCCUUUCCCUUUCUGCCACCAAAAUCUAGCAACUAAAUUGUCAAACUCAUCACAAAGCGAUUUUGGUAAUAGAAAACAUGUCAUAGCAUAAGUAGGAAUUGCCUGAAGAACUGAUUUAAUAAAAACCUCUCUACCCCCUUGAGAGAAGAAGCGAGUACUCCAAUUAUCAAUUCUUUGCUUUAUUCUGUCUUUGAGAUUCUGAAACGAUUCUUUUUUCUUCCGGCCUACAAUAUUUGGCAAUCCAAGAUAUUUUUCCAUAUUGUUCGAAAAUCUUAUUCCCAUAUCAGCUGAUAACCUGCCUUUAUCCCCCUCCUUCAAAUUCGAACUAAAAAAGAUCAUUGAUUUAUUAAAGUUAACGCAUUGACCAGAGCAACUCUCAUAUUCUUUCAAAAUAGCUUUGAAGUUCCUUGCACUACUUUCUGUGGCUUCACCAAACAAAAUACAAUCGUCUGCGAAUAACAAGUGCGAUAUUAUCGGGCCUCUUCUGCUGGCUCUCACCCUUUUAAUCAAUCCCUCUUUUGUAGCAUUCCUGAUUAACGACGAUAAACCUUCAUUGCAAAUAAGAAAUAGAAAAGGGCUAAGUGGGUCACCCUGUCUGAGUCCUCUGGUUGGUUCAAAGACUCUACCAUUCCUCCCGUUCGUAGUAACAACAUAAGAGACUGUAGAAAUACAUCUCAUUAUAAGUACCACCCAUUCCUUCGCAAAACCCAUCCGUAUCAUAACUUCCUUCAAGAAAGCCCAUUCCACCCUAUCGUAAGCUUUACUCAUGUCAAGCUUAAUUGCCAUAAAACCUUUCUUCCCCUUACGUUUUUUCCGAAGAGUAUGCAGAAUUUCAUAAGCUAUCAAAAUAUUGUCUGAAAUUAGCCUCCCUGGGACAAAUGCACUUUGAGCACUAUCAAUGCAUCUCCCGAUGACUUCUUGAAAACGAUUGGCAAUAGCUUUAGCAAUAAUUUUAUAAAGAACUGUGCAUAAACUAAUUGGUCUAAAAUCUGCAAGGUUUGUAGGAUUGGAUUUCUUCGGAAUAAGGGUAAUCUUAGUUACAUUUAACUCUUCCACGUCUUUUCCAUUAUUUAAAACUUCUAAACAAAAAUUCCCAAUAUCUUCGCCCACUAUAUCCCAGUAUUUUUGAAAGAAUAGAGCCGGGAAGCCAUCAUAACCUGGAGCUUUUGUUGAACCCAUUCCCUUCACUGCAAUAUAAAUCUCCUCUAACGUAAAUUUUUUCAAUAGGGUUGCAUUGAUAUCCGAAGAGAUGCAAUUCUGAAUACCUGUUAGAAGAUGAGAAGGAUCUCUAACGCCUGUAGUCGAGAAAAGCUUUUGAAAAUACUGCGUCGCCAACUCAUUAAUUUUAAACUCCUCAGUAAUUCCUCUCCCAUCAUCAUUAUCAAGCCUGCUAAUUGUAUUAAUUUUUCUCCGCAUUGAUGCAUAUUUAUGAAAAAAUUCUGUAUUUUUAUCCCCCAACUUUAGCCAAUUAGCUCGUGCUCUCUGUUCCCAAUACAUCUCCUCCUUCUCGAUUUCCAUGCUCAAAUGAAUUCUUUUAUUAAUUAUCUGGUUCAUAACAUCUUCAUCAGGUUCCUUCUUCAUUAAAUCUUCAACCUCUUUUGUAGUUCUUUCUGUCAUUCCCUUCCGUUGCCUUCUAAUAGAUUUAGCCCAUUUCGAUAAGCUAAUCUGCAAGUUCUCAAGAUUUUCCAAAACCGAUCCAUUUUGUGACUUCCAGGCUUCCCGAAUUUCUUUCUCUAUUGACUCCUCUGUAGUCCACCAGGCUUCAAAUUUAUAACUUGGAACUGUCUUGAAACUGUUUAAAUUAAUUGUGCUUAUUAACAAAGGACAAUGAUCCGAAAGGGUAGACAUCAGAUGAUUAAUAUUGCCCGUUGGAAAUAACUCCAUCCAUUUUUCGUUUGCAACACCUCUAUCCAAUCUUUCCCAUAAUUCGUCUCUGGUAAAUUCCCUCUCUCCCAUGUAUACCAUACUCCUGAAUAUCCCAAGUCUAAAAAGUGACAUUCUUGUAGAGUUUCCCGAAACGCUGCCAUCUUUCUUUCAUCCAUCGGUUGACCUCUUUUUUUUCAAAAGAAUAAGCUAUUUCAUUGAAAUCUCCACUCACUAACCAAGGAUACUCUUGCUCCUGUCCCAAGAUCUUUAAUAAAUCCCAUGAAGCAUUUUUAUCUUGUGAGUAGGGAGAGCCAUAGAACCCUGUGAAUCUCCAAUCGCCAUGAGCACCUUCUCCUUUAACCAGCACAUCAAUAUGACUUAUUGACAAAGAUCUAAGGUGAAUCUGAACCUCCUCUCGCCAUGCUAAACAAAUACCACCCUGCGUACCAGUAGCUCCUACUUCAAGUCCAUUCAUGAAACCACACAUUCUUCUAAUUGCUUCCAUACGUUUUCCACUUACUUUAGUCUCCAUUAAGAAGACAAAUUGAGGAUUAUUUUGCUUCAGUAAAAAUCGAAGCUUCCUUACUGCCCGUGGACUCCCCAAUCCACGGACAUUCCAACAUAUGAUUUUCAUUGUGCCCGGUCGGCUUGCCCAUUGGCAGCCGCCGAUCCUGUCUGGUUGGAAAAUUCUAUUUGUAAAUUAAUUUCAUCCUUCGAAGUUAGAUCCUGUUCAGCACGUUUUGUCCUUUUUAGAUUCUCUUCUCGAAUCUCCUUUACCCCAUCUUCAUCUUGCACUAAUUCUGCCAAUUUCCUUUUUUGCAAUUUACGAUCAGCCUCAUGGUUCUCCUUCCCUCCCACUAUUUUCCUUCUUUUCCAACUAACUUUCCUGGCUAAAACUAGAUUACUGACAGUACUAUCUACAUUACCUCCUUCAUUGAUACCUGCUUCCUUGUGUAAUUCAAG
RNAcentral lists this long non-coding RNA (4541 nucleotides) under Gossypium barbadense (sea-island cotton). RNAcentral's name for it is "long non-coding RNA (GBAR_LNC021489)". The record is from RNAcentral. Lineage: Eukaryota; Viridiplantae; Streptophyta; Magnoliopsida; Malvales; Malvaceae.